ACCGCACCUGAAUCUUUCCCGUGCCUUGCUGGGCAGUGUGGGUUUGGGGACAGAUGGUGCUACACUAGCUGCAGAGGAAAUCCAGGCAGGUUACUUUCCAUUUACAUUGCAACUUGCCUCUACAACUCUGCCACAUUU
Molecule: small nucleolar RNA, 138 nt
Filed under: Ornithorhynchus anatinus (platypus)
Lineage: Eukaryota; Metazoa; Chordata; Mammalia; Monotremata; Ornithorhynchidae
Description: H/ACA-box snoRNA Oa
Rfam family: Small nucleolar RNA SNORA55
About the family: ACA55 is a member of the H/ACA class of snoRNA that guide the sites of modification of uridines to pseudouridines.
Source: RNAcentral